GACGAACGCUGGCGGCGUGCUUAACACAUGCAAGUCGAACGGAAAGGCCCUGCUUUUGUGGGGUGCUCGAGUGGCGAACGGGUGAGUAACACGUGAGUGACCUGCCCUUGACUUUGGGAUAACUUCGGGAAACUGGGGCUAAUACCGGAUAGGAGCUCCUGCUGCAUGGUGUGGGUUGGAAAGUUUCGGCGGUUGGGGAUGGACUCGCGGCUUAUCAGCUUGUUGGUGGGGUAGUGGCUUACCAAGGCUUUGACGGGUAGCCGGCCUGAGAGGGUGACCGGCCACAUUGGGACUGAGAUACGGCCCAGACUCCUACGGGAGGCAGCAGUGGGGAAUAUUGCACAAUGGGCGGAAGCCUGAUGCAGCAACGCCGCGUGCGGGAUGACGGCCUUCGGGUUGUAAACCGCUUUCGCCUGUGACGAAGCGUGAGUGACGGUAAUGGGUAAAGAAGCACCGGCUAACUACGUG
This 468-nucleotide ribosomal RNA is filed under the name uncultured bacterium. RNAcentral describes it as "partial 16S ribosomal RNA". It matches the Rfam family "Bacterial small subunit ribosomal RNA", at positions 28 to 507 of the family's 1533-position model. The record is from RNAcentral.